Molecule: non-coding RNA, 3705 nt
Organism: Coturnix japonica (Japanese quail)
Lineage: Eukaryota; Metazoa; Chordata; Aves; Galliformes; Phasianidae
Source: RefSeq, a predicted model, not a curated record
AAGCAGACGUGGGCAGACCAGGCGUGGGUAAUCCUGACCACAGCACAUCCUUCCUGUUUCUCCUCCCAUCAAGACAAGAAGUAUAUUUCCUGCAAGGGGAUGACUUUGCAGUCCUCUGAGCAACUCCCCCGAAGCCAGGGGAUUUUCUAGGUGACCGGGCUGGCAUGACUCAGAAAUGUGUUUUUCAACUGUAAUGUGCCAUCAGUGCUUCAUGGGCUCUUCAGUUUAAACUGUUUCAGUGAGGACCAUGCAGAUUCAUCACACUUCUGAGCUUAGUAAAAGGCACUGAGGGUUAGACUCCUAGCAGCAAUCUGCCUCCUGUUUGCAGUCAGUUAUCAGGAAGUAAAUGAUCACCACACAUGGAUGUGAAAAAGAAGAAAAUGCCUGGUCAGUGGAAGAGCCUAGAACCUCACUAGCACAACGUUGCUGCACACUAGAAAUGCUGCCAGACAACCUUUACUAACAACCUGAGGUUUUAUUUCAGUGACACCAUCUAAUGAUACAGCUACCAAAAAGUGGGCUCCAGGAGACCUCCUGUCAGCAUUCCAGCACCCAAAAGGGGCCUGGAGGAAAGUUGCCUUACUUGAAAUCAAAUUGAUCCCAGUUGAACUGGCUAAAGCACAGACUCUGAAGAAUGGUGCAUGAUGGCUCAUGCUGACAAGGGAUGUGGCAUUAUGGUGCCAUAUUUCCUUUUCAUUCUGCCACACAAACUCCAUAACUGAUCAAAGGCUGAAAUGGAAUCCCAGCUGAAAGUGGUUACAAGAAACUGAAGAUAAUAAAACAAAUAAAAAUAGUGGCUCCCAUAAAAGAUGAACAAUUGGGAAAUAUCUUUGCAAGUCCUGUUUUAAGUUCAUCUAGUAGGUCUACUGCACAACCUCUGAGGAGCCAGAGUCGUAAGUCUCUAAAAGCACUCAAGGGCGGUUUCUACUUAAAGCUUUUUAGAAACUUUUGUAAGUAAACAAAUGGCUUCAUGACAUGUAUUAAAUGCAAACUGAACAAGAUGAAGGUCCUGGAGCAAAACAAAGUACACAAUAAAAUAACUACUGCAGGUUAUAAAUCACAGUUUAUAAGUCACAGACUUUAAAUCACAAUUGUCCUUCAAAAUCACCCACUUUUGCAUUUCAUUUCUGAGGCUGAGAGCCUAAUUCAUGUUCAAAUUAUCACCUGGCACUUGUAAUAAAUUCUUAAGAUGAAUGAAAAAAGAAAUACAAUUUUAUUCUAUAAAUUAUAUUGGAAAGCGCUCUGAAGCAUGUGAAAUAUGCCUCCUCAGAUGAAUAGAAAUAAAACAUGUUCGUGUUCCUUGACAGCCUACUUCUCCAUCUUUGAACAAAAAUGUUCAAAGAAAAAAUAGACUAUAGGGAGAAAGAGAUGAUUUGGACUUUUAAAAAAUUGAAUCUGAAGCACAUUUGAAAAAUUGUUGGGAGCCUCAUGUCUGGAAUCUUUAAGGAAUAUUAAGGCUAACAGGCUAACUAUCUUCCCCUGAGAUGCAGCUUGACUAAAUAACGCCCAGCCUUUGAAAACCGUACUCCAAUUUGGUGCUUGGAGGAAAGUGCCUUAAUGAGUCUUUGGUAUCUGCUUCUAUUGUUCAACAUAACAUCUUGAGCUGGGUAAAAGAUGGAUGUAAUUUGUGAAGACCGAAACCUAAGGCAGCAGGUCUUGCCCUAAUAUGCACUGCUUCAAAGGCUCCCUGGGAAGCCUUGAAGAUCAAGGAAAAGGGGAAGAUCAAGGAGAUGGGAAUGAACUAUCUCAGUCUGACCUCCUCUUUGGUCAAGCCAUCUGGGGAGGUGGCAUAUGGGGACUUCUAAGCCAUUCUGCUGCCAGAUCCAGUAAGCCCAUGAACUCCCAAGUUUGGGUAGUAUUGCUACUGCCUCUGUCAAGCUCAGCAGCUUCACCCUCAUGGGGAAAAAAGGAUGUGUGAGGUCAUAAGCUACUGCCAGUGGGGAAAUUCACCCUUUUUCUCUCACUGAAAAGAGAAGGGUACUUGAAAGGUGCAUCUUUUUUCCUCUUUUUUUUAACCAUUUUGACUGGAAGGAAACAUUUGGAUAAGAACUGAUAGAUGUCCCUAUGCUAUAUCCUUGCUGAUGCCGGGAUUGAAGACUUAUCAAAAUACACAUUUCAUUUCUCAGGGUUCUCCUGAGGAUGUAUAUCUCAGUGGGUUUGGACUGCCUAGCUGGGUAUCUUCCUAAAGGGACCUCAGCAGCAGAGCCUCACCACUGCUGGUGGCAGAGGAAGAAGCUGUAAUGCUACUGAAUCACUUAGUAAAGUUUUAGAAAGGUGAUGAGUUGGAACACAUUUCACAGGCUCAACAAAUAAAAUCUCCGUUGGGUUUGAUUCAAUGAUGAGAGGGUCACCUUGAGAGAUGACAAGCCUAACAUAUUUAUGAAGUUACCUGGGAUUACAAAAUAUUAUUACCCCUGGGUGAAAACAAACAUGGAAGUCCAAAAGGCAGCUUUGCUUAAGCCCCAAUAUAGUCUCACCUCCAAGAGUACGCUGUUCAAGAUUACCUUAAAUGUCCUUAGAGGAGGCUGUUCUUUGUAUCUGAAUUGCUUCACAAUUGGGCCCAGAAAUGAAGCGUACUUCAGAUGAAACAUGGAAACUUAUCAGCAAGUUCUACCAAGCCUGCAACAUCCACCUCCUGAAUUUAGACCAAACGUAAUGGAAAUUCUUAUUGUUUAUGAAAACAAUUAUUGCUACAACUUCAAAGCUACUCAGUCAGCUUUCUGCGUGCUUAACCUGCUUUUCACAUUUCAGUAGUGUACUCAAAAUAUAUUGCAAGUGUAUCCCACUAUUACAAUAAACAUUUGGUGUUCUUGUUGGCAUCUGAAGAACAAUUAGGCGUUUGCUUGUUUUCUUUUUAAAGCAUGAAAUGCAUACUUUUUCCUAAUAGUCAAAAUUGAAUGGAAUGGAUGAUUUUGAUGAGAGGUGAGGGGGAAUGUGGGUUCUAUUUGCUUUAGGCAGGAGACAACAGCAGUAAAUUGUCCAUUGAAGAAGGACACAGAAGAAUUGCUGCUUCUGAUACCCAAACCAAGUUACUGAAAGCUGGUGUGCACAUCUCUGUCCCUUUCUGGAACUGAUAACCCCUUCUGGCAUCUGUCAAAUGGGCAAGAGAAUGAGCCUGAAAAUUCCCAGUUUGGAUUUCCCUUGCACAAAGAGUUUAUGUCAUUUACAUGACUAUAUUCAUGUGUUCUAUUAUGAGAAGGAGAUGUAGCAUGGGCUGGGGUCCUGCUGUGAUAUGGGCCAGGUAAGCAGAAAAGAAAGGAAUCUUAGCUGCUGCGGCAUAACAGGGCAGUGUGCAACUCAGCACUGCCAGAACCUCACCUCAGCUCUUUUGUUCUUUCCAGAAGAACCAUUUGACCUUAGGAAGAAGGGUUUAAUUAUCCUGGGCUUUUUUGCCAGCUGGGGAGGCUCUUUGUCAAAAGAAAACUGGGAGGGGAAGGAGGACAACCAGCUUCCCUGAACUACAGGGGAAAGAUGCUGCCAGACCAUGCUGCUUGUGUUUGUACUUCUGUUCUAAGCUCUGCUUUGAAAUAAAACAUAUCAUUACACUACUAGAAACUACUGUGUUGUAUAAGCCAGCUCUGUGAUACAGUCUACAGUCUCACAGAAGCAGUCUCUGGACACUGGAAAACAAAGGCAAAAGAAGAUCUGCUGUUGGCACAGCAGCUACUAGUGCUGGCAGGAGCAAGUAUCUGCACAAAAGCAAAA